This 390-nucleotide unclassified non-coding RNA is filed under the name soil metagenome. Its description in RNAcentral is "partial contains 5.8S ribosomal RNA, internal transcribed spacer 2, and large subunit ribosomal RNA". The stretch from base 1 to 122 matches the Rfam family "5.8S ribosomal RNA", at positions 35 to 154 of the family's 154-position model. The record is from RNAcentral.
GAUGAAGAACGCAGCGAAAUGCGAUACUUGGUGUGAAUUGCAGAAUCCCGUGAACCAUCGAGUCUUUGAACGCAAGUUGCGCCCGAAGCCAUUAGGCCGAGGGCACGCCUGCCUGGGCGUCACACGUCGUUGCCCCCCAUCUACUCCUUCGGGAUUGCGGGGGGCGGAUGAUGGCCUCUCGUGCGCCUCGUCGCGCGGUUGGCCUAAAUGCCAAGUCCUCGGCGACGCACGCCACGACAAUCGGUGGUUGCGAAACCUCGGUUGCCUGUCGUGUGCGGUCGUCGCGCAUCGAGGGCUCGAAAAAAUUGCCGGGCUUCGGCUCGACUUUCAACGCGACCCCAGGUCAGGCGGGGUUACCCGCUGAAUUUAAGCAUAUCAAUAAGCGGAGGA